This is a long non-coding RNA of Passer domesticus (house sparrow), 498 nucleotides long. RefSeq lists it as uncharacterized. The transcript is spliced from 3 exons. The record is from RefSeq and is a predicted model, not a curated record. NCBI's taxonomy places the organism in Eukaryota, Metazoa, Chordata, Aves, Passeriformes, Passeridae.
AUUGUACCUUGCUGCUCUCAGUCACAGUCUCUGUGUCUUCUGAGGGCUCUGCAAUCUGGAACCUGUCUUGCCUGUUGUCCAGCAUUGUGGUUUUGGGGGCUUGACAUCUGCCAGAGAUUUACACAAACCUUUGCUUUCAUUUCCAGGCCUCCCACUGAGCCGGGCCAAGGAGAUGGAUCAUCACACUGAUCCUGGUCUUACGCGUGACACAGACCUGAGGGAAGGUUUUGGAAAGAUCCGUGCUGCAUUGUGCAUGUUGGCUCAAAAGAACUUAGAGCGGAAGGAUGCAGAGCUUUUGGAGAGAGAGAUGAAGAAAAGGAGGCAAAGGAAAACAUCCUUGCAGCCCAUUCUGGAGACAGUUGAGCCCGGGGAUGAAGCUGAAGCAAGCUUUAGCCUCCCACCUGUUGAUGGCACAGCUUCUAGAGUGCAGAGAAAACACCCUGGUAGUGCCUUGAAGAAGAAGGUCUUGAAGAAGCAGGACAAUGUGUCCUUACUGCC